This is a non-coding RNA of Benincasa hispida (wax gourd), 1363 nucleotides long. The record is from RefSeq and is a predicted model, not a curated record. NCBI's taxonomy places the organism in Eukaryota, Viridiplantae, Streptophyta, Magnoliopsida, Cucurbitales, Cucurbitaceae.
GGAAAUUCGACAUGGAUUGAUUAUAUAAAAUUAGUUUUGGGAUAAGGGAAGCUAGCCAUAUAAGCCUUUUCAAGCCACAUGCAUCUCAAGGUAGGUUGUCUUCUUCUUUUUCUUCCCACUCUCACGAAAAUUCCUCUCUCUCUUUCUCUCAACCGACUUACAGUCACAAGCAGCAGCUCGUCACUGGCCACGAGUCUAAACGUCGACCAAGCAAAUUCACCGUCAUACCGGAAAGAUCUGCCAUUGUCUGUAGUCAUGCGUCACUGGUUUUGGCUUACCCAUAAUAUCCUGAUGUUAGAUUUGAGUCUUCGAGACUUUUGGAUCACUGUCCAGCAGUUAGAGAUCUUUUCAAAAGAUUUUGGAACCUUUGGUUGAAGACUUGGAGUGGUUAUCGGAUCAAACCCCAAUUUAGGAUUUUCUUCAAUGUUUCCAAGAGCCUAAAGGGAGUUUAGUUGUUGAAUAAAAUAUCUGGAUUUAAUUUCGAGGUAAGUAGCUUUACUACUAGAAUGCCCUCGAGUCCGAUAAAUUUAUUUAUAAUGAUUUUAUUAUGUAUGAUGACUAAAACAUGAUUAUUUUUUAUAUGAUUGACUAUGUAAAUUUUGAUUGAUAAGCAUGUAUACAAGUUUAGCAUGAACUAUGAUAUUAUGUGAUUACAUGUCAAUUUUAUGUGGGACCUUCAUGUGUAUGUUAUGACAAACUACGACACGACUCGCCUUCCAAGCACAUGACACGAUUCGUUUUGAAAGGCACAUGACACGACUCGCCUGGAAAGGUACAUGACACGACUCGCCACUAAGAAACAUGAUACACUUGCCUGGAGAGGCACAUGUCACACACUUGCCUGAAAGGUACAUGUCACAAUUAGCCUGAAAAGGCAUAUGAUACACACAAGCUCUGGAUGGUACCUGACAUGAAAAACGCCUCAGAAAGGCAGAUGACAAGAAAAGGCCCUUAAGUGGCACAUGACACAGUUUUUGUCUAUUGGCUAUCUUUAAGGUCUCACUAGUUAAAAUUAUUUUCAAAUUCAUGAUUGCAUGUGCUUGCAUAGCAUGCCUUAGUAGUGGGUUACUUUCUAAGAAUUUUAUAUACUCAACAUUUCUUUAACAUUUUUUUCUAGGUAUUGCAAAGAACAUAUUGGGCGUAUGACGAGGGAGAUCUAUGAUUGUGCCAUUGGACUAGUUUCAACGUUUUUGCUCAGUUUUAUGUUUCCAAGUUAUUUUAAUGUUUUGGUUUAGGACUUGAUGUUAGAUAGAAAAAUUUAUGUUUCAAAAAUUGUUUUUGUAAAUGUUUUUAAGGAACCGCGAACAUAAGUUUUAUUUGUUUAAUGAUUUAUUCAUUUUUAUAAAAUGUUUUGAAAUUGUUA